UGCAGCACAUGUUUUACUUCAAGAACAGUUAAAGUUAGGACAUAUAAAACCCUCCACUUCUCCAUGGAAUACAGCCAUAUUUGUUAUUAAGAAAAAAUCUGGAAAGUGGCGAUUAUUACAUGAUCUAUGGGCUAUUAAUGCUCAAAUGCAACUCAUGGGAUCUAUUCAGAGAGGGUUGCCUUUGCUUUCUA
Molecule: small RNA, 191 nt
Filed under: Marmota monax (woodchuck)
Lineage: Eukaryota; Metazoa; Chordata; Mammalia; Rodentia; Sciuridae
Source: RNAcentral